CUGAACUUAGUUCCACACUCCUCGGGGGUAGCCCGGAAGCCGGCUCCCCGGCAGGCGCCCCCACGGAGCGAGGGAGCGACGCCUCCGAGGAGUACCUAGCAAGGCCGAGCUCCGCACCAUGGAGAAGCAAGGAAGACCAGGGGGCCUCCCUUCAAAAAGCAUAAGCAACCAAGCAAACUAUGACACACGACAGAAUGGUGCCAAGGGAGAACUGCUAAGCACUGUUUCCCAAUUUCCUGUUACAGAAAAUAAAAUCCCACUGGUUCCAAGAGAGAACAUA
Molecule: long non-coding RNA, 280 nt
Organism: Pan troglodytes (chimpanzee)
Lineage: Eukaryota; Metazoa; Chordata; Mammalia; Primates; Hominidae
Exons: 2
Source: RefSeq, a predicted model, not a curated record